Molecule: long non-coding RNA, 818 nt
Organism: Prinia subflava (tawny-flanked prinia)
Lineage: Eukaryota; Metazoa; Chordata; Aves; Passeriformes; Cisticolidae
Exons: 3
Source: RefSeq, a predicted model, not a curated record
CGUGCCCCGCGGAAUUCGCGUCGACCCCUCCGGUAUCGGUGGGUGAGGAGAGCCUCGAGCGCCUCCCCCGCCACAGGCGGAGCCGGGGACCAGCCCCCUUUCCCGCGGGGGCAGGAUGGAGAGGAGCCUUAGCGCGGACGAUUACAUAAAUUGGAUGGCUCUUCCCUGAUGCUCCAUAAAUGGCCACUGGUCCUAAAUUAGUAUGUCGGUACUAUGAUUGAAGAAUAUGAAGUCCUUGGUUAUAAUGUUUGCAAUCCAGUUCAACAGCACUUAAAUAAAUUUCUUCUGCAUGAGACAGUUUUGGGUUGGGUUGUUCUUUCAUCUUAAGUAACUCUGGCCUUCUAAUACAACUUCUCAGACUUUCUUCAAAACAGUAAAGUUUCUUUCUGUUACAGACUCCUCUAUAUUAUUGCCAGUCCUUUGUUGAUAUACUUGUGGUGCCUCUGUCUCUCUUGUUAAAAGCAGGAGUAUGGCAGCUGAGAAGAUUCUGAUCACACUCAGCAGUAGUUGCACUGACACACUGUUUGCAAGCAGCUGGUUACUAGAGGCUGAAGCCAAUGUCAUCAUUUUGUUUGUGUUAUCAUGCUGAGUCCAAACUUUGGCAUUUAAAUACAACCAGAUGUUCCUUAGCAGAGCUACUUUGAAUGCAGCAUGUUACAGUGCAACCCCAGUAGAGCUGAUCCCACCCUUCCAUUUCUGCUUUUAGUGCACUCCUGUUACUUUUCUCUUAAUUACUGGAUUACCAUGAAACUCUUGGGCCUUUAAUAAAAGUUCUCUAUGAUUUUAUUUAGAGAACUUACGGUAACACAAUACUUUAC